This 1746-nucleotide long non-coding RNA is filed under the name Chrysemys picta bellii (western painted turtle). Its description in RNAcentral is "lncRNA (ENSCPBG00000012556.1)". Lineage: Eukaryota; Metazoa; Chordata; Testudines; Emydidae. The record is from RNAcentral.
AUGGGUAUGCACUGCAGGCAAUGGUGGGAUGCGGGGAAUCGAGGAAUGCAUCAGCUAGGAUGUGUAGACAUUUUGAAUUGCUGGCAAUCCCCCCUGGGCUGCUGCAGGAAAAAUGAGAGACCCAGGGAGCUGCUGACAGCCCACUCACUGGAUGAUCGGUUUCUUUCUGAAAUGAAGAAAGUAAAACAACAUUCAGCAGUGAUGAAAAGAAGUAAAAGAGCAGCCCUGAACUAUCACUUCUCUCAGUGUUCCAGAGAUUGGCUUGGUGCCCAAUGCAAAAUUACAUCUGAACUCUCACACGCAGAGCCUGAGCAGCUGAGAGAGAAAUGCUGGGGUGGGCAGGGACUCUCAGAGCAGUACUGCUGUUUUCAUUUGAUCCUAAAAGUUGUUCAGGAUCCUGACCCAAGGAUACGACCAUUACAAAGAGAAAUAUUACUGUGUGUUCUUCUUUGUGAAUUUAGUGCUGGUCAAAGGUUCUGGAGUUCCCAUGUUGGAGACUGAAAUCCUGCUUUGAUCCAAGAGAAGGUACAAGCUACACGGAUUUUCUAUCUUCCUCUGAAGCAUCUGGUACUGGCCAUUCUCAGGGUAUGCCUGCACUGCAGUCAUGGGGUGUGACUGAAGCUCAUGUAGACAUAGUCAAGCUAGUUUCCAUCUAGCUAGCUUAGUUAUCAGAGCAGUGAAGCCUCAGCACUUUGGCCUUCAGUUGGGGUGUACAAGCCUGGACUCUGCACGUUCAGUGAUCUGGUACCUGAGCUAGCUAGACAAAGGUAGCUCGGGUAGGUCUACACAAACUGCAGUCACACCCCAUGACUGCAAUGUAGACGUACCCUCAGAGAUAGGAGGCUAGACUAGACAGACCACUAGUCUUAACAAGUAUGACAAUUCCUCUCUCUUCUGAGAUGGCUCAAAGAUAAGAGUACAAACCAAUUCCAAGGCAGGGGUGGCAUUUCUCUGUGAUAGGAGUCACUAUUCCAGUAGGCUCUGAAAUGAGAUCCUUCCUCAAAUAUAUUCCUUUAAAUCCUCAUUGAAAUCUCCAUUUAACACUCCACCCCCAAAUCCAAUAUUUAAAAAUCAGUUCCUCCUGUCACUUGCUUAUCAAACACUGACAAGUUCAGGGGUCUGUGUUUUUACUGCAAUAAGAGAUAACUCCACUGACCUCCUAAUGUACUGUAGGUAGCUGCUCUUUAUGCUCCUUUAGGCUCACUGUAUGAGGAACCAUCAACACCCUGGAGUCACCUCUUGUCAAGAAAAAGGCGAUUUUAUUUUUGUUUUUUCCCCAUUUUAAAUUUAAUUUUCUUUUUAAUUUGAGCUUUAAAAAGUCUCAGAGAAGUACCAGCUCUCAGUUGCUUGAUGAUGAAAUUUCAUUAGGCUAAGACAACAUUUUAGGACUUGUUUUAAUCAUUUCUAGUGCUACUGCUUUCUGCAGGAAAGGAGUCUCUCAAAUGUUAGAUAUUGCAGAGUGCAGUGGAGACCUCCCUCAGCAGGAUAUGAAAAAAGAUCAUGGACUUCACUGACAGUUACUUGUACCUUGCCAUGGGGUGGAAGUAGAGAGAGAAUAGGGCUCCCUGAUGAAAUGGUCUGAACUUGCCAAUCACAGAAACACUGAGCGGGCUGCCUUCACUUACACAGAGAUAGACCCAAAGCGGUAAUACCCCAGUAUGAAGUGACGCUGAAUCACUUGGCAAACAGCAGUGAUACCAGCCUCUAAGAGCUUAGUUCAAAAUAAAAGCAUGACCUUUAUUUCCA